UACGUAGGGGGCAAGCGUUGUCCGGAAUCAUUGGGCGUAAAGCGCGCGUAGGCGGCCCUGUAAGUCCGUUGUGAAAGUCGAAGGCUCAACCUUCGAAAGCCGAUGGAUACUGCAGGGCUAGAGUCCGGAAGAGGCGAGUGGAAUUCCUGGUGUAGCGGUGGAAUGCGCAGAUAUCAGGAGGAACACCAAUAGCGAAGGCAGCUCGCUGGGCCAGAUCCGACACUCAUCCGCGAAAGCGUGGGGAGCAAACAGG
This 253-nucleotide ribosomal RNA is filed under the name uncultured bacterium. RNAcentral describes it as "partial 16S ribosomal RNA". It matches the Rfam family "Bacterial small subunit ribosomal RNA", at positions 524 to 776 of the family's 1533-position model. The record is from RNAcentral.